GACGAACGCUGGCGGCGUGCUUAACACAUGCAAGUCGAACGGAAAGGCCCUGCUUUUGUGGGGUGCUCGAGUGGCGAACGGGUGAGUAACACGUGAGUAACCUGCCCUUGACUUUGGGAUAACUUCAGGAAACUGGGGCUAAUACCGGAUAGGAGCUCCUGCUGCAUGGUGGGGGUUGGAAAGUUUCGGCGGUUGGGGAUGGACUCGCGGCUCAUCAGCUUGUUGGUGGGGUAGUGGCUUACCAAGGCUUUGACGGGUAGCCGGCCUGAGAGGGUGACCGGCCACAUUGGGACUGAGAUACGGCUCAGACUCCUACGGGAGGCAGCAGUGGGGAAUAUUGCACAAUGGGCGGAAGCCUGAUGCAGCAACGCCGCGUGCGGGAUGACGGCCUUCGGGUUGUAAACCGCUUUCGCCUGUGACGAAGCGUGAGUGACGGUAAUGGGUAAAGAAGCACCGGCUAACUACGUG
Molecule: ribosomal RNA, 468 nt
Filed under: uncultured bacterium
Lineage: Bacteria
Description: partial 16S ribosomal RNA
Rfam family: Bacterial small subunit ribosomal RNA
Source: RNAcentral